Molecule: long non-coding RNA, 214 nt
Filed under: Elaeis guineensis (African oil palm)
Lineage: Eukaryota; Viridiplantae; Streptophyta; Magnoliopsida; Arecales; Arecaceae
Description: long non-coding RNA (EGUI_LNC075577)
Source: RNAcentral
ACAUGUUUCUUUUUGAGGUAGUCACGUAUGAUAUGAAAAUGCCACUCGAUGUGUUUAGAUUUUUUAUGAGAGACCUCGAUUCUUUAGCAAGUGCUAUGGCUCUAUUAUUGUCGCAGUACAAUGGUAUGGCAUCCGAUGUUAUAACUCCAAGUUCUACAGUGAACUUUUUGAACUAGAAGCCUUAUUUUGCAGCAUCCGAAGCAACGACAUACUC